Molecule: microRNA precursor, 135 nt
Filed under: Vicugna pacos (alpaca)
Lineage: Eukaryota; Metazoa; Chordata; Mammalia; Artiodactyla; Camelidae
Description: miRNA (ENSVPAG00000017447.1)
Source: RNAcentral
GGAUGCCCAGUCAAAUUUGAAUUCCAGAUAAACAGCAAAUAGUUUUUGAUUAUAACUAUGUCCCAUGUGACAUUUGGGACAUACUUACACUAUAAAACUAUUCCUUUAUCUGAAGUUCAGAUUUAACUGGGCAUC